This 1445-nucleotide ribosomal RNA is filed under the name uncultured organism. RNAcentral's name for it is "SSU rRNA". It matches the Rfam family "Bacterial small subunit ribosomal RNA". The record is from RNAcentral.
UGAACGCUAGCUACAGGCUUAACACAUGCAAGUCGAGGGGCAUCAGGAAGAAAGCUUGCUUUCUUUGCUGGCGACCGGCGCACGGGUGAGUAACACGUAUCCAACCUGCCCUUUACUCGGGGAUAGCCUUUCGAAAGAAAGAUUAAUACCCGAUAGCAUAAUGAUUCCGCAUGGUUUCAUUAUUAAAGGAUUCCGGUAAAGGAUGGGGAUGCGUUCCAUUAGGUUGUUGGUGAGGUAACGGCCCACCAAGCCUUCGAUGGAUAGGGGUUCUGAGAGGAAGGUCCCCCACAUUGGAACUGAGACACGGUCCAAACUCCUACGGGAGGCAGCAGUGAGGAAUAUUGGUCAAUGGGCGCUAGCCUGAACCAGCCAAGUAGCGUGAAGGAUGAAGGCUCUAUGGGUCGUAAACUUCUUUUAUAUAAGAAUAAAGUGCAGUAUGUAUACUGUUUUGUAUGUAUUAUAUGAAUAAGGAUCGGCUAACUCCGUGCCAGCAGCCGCGGUAAUACGGAGGAUCCGAGCGUUAUCCGGAUUUAUUGGGUUUAAAGGGAGCGUAGGUGGACUGGUAAGUCAGUUGUGAAAGUUUGCGGCUCAACCGUAAAAUUGCAGUUGAUACUGUCAGUCUUGAGUACAGUAGAGGUGGGCGGAAUUCGUGGUGUAGCGGUGAAAUGCUUAGAUAUCACGAAGAACUCCGAUUGCGAAGGCAGCUCACUGGACUGCAACUGACACUGAUGCUCGAAAGUGUGGGUAUCAGACAGGAUUAGAUACCCUGGUAGUCCACACAGUAAACGAUGAAUACUCGCUGUUUGCGAUAUACAGUAAGCGGCCAAGCGAAAGCAUUAAGUAUUCCACCUGGGGAGUACGCCGGCAACGGUGAAACUCAAAGGAAUUGACGGGGGCCCGCACAAGCGGAGGAACAUGUGGUUUAAUUCGAUGAUACGCGAGGAACCUUACCCGGGCUUAAAUUGCAGUGGAAUGAUGUGGAAACAUGUCAGUGAGCAAUCACCGCUGUGAAGGUGCUGCAUGGUUGUCGUCAGCUCGUGCCGUGAGGUGUCGGCUUAAGUGCCAUAACGAGCGCAACCCUUAUCUUUAGUUACUAACAGGUUAUGCUGAGGACUCUAGAGAGACUGCCGUCGUAAGAUGUGAGGAAGGUGGGGAUGACGUCAAAUCAGCACGGCCCUUACGUCCGGGGCUACACACGUGUUACAAUGGGGGGUACAGAAGGCAGCUAGCGGGUGACCGUAUGCUAAUCCCAAAAUCCUCUCUCAGUUCGGAUCGAAGUCUGCAACCCGACUUCGUGAAGCUGGAUUCGCUAGUAAUCGCGCAUCAGCCACGGCGCGGUGAAUACGUUCCCGGGCCUUGUACACACCGCCCGUCAAGCCAUGGGAGCCGGGGGUACCUGAAGUACGUAACCGCAAGGAUCGUCCUAGGGUAAAACUGGUGACAGG